AAUAUACUCCCUCCGUCCUGAAAUACUUGUCGAAGAAAUGCAUAAAAAUAAAUGUAUCUAGAAUUAAAGUACGUCUAGAUACAUCCAUUCCUCCGACAAGUAUUUCCGAACGAAGGGAGUAUAAU
Molecule: non-coding RNA, 125 nt
Organism: Triticum aestivum (bread wheat)
Lineage: Eukaryota; Viridiplantae; Streptophyta; Magnoliopsida; Poales; Poaceae
Source: Rfam